Long non-coding RNA from Drosophila subpulchrella, 1259 nucleotides. RefSeq lists it as uncharacterized. The transcript has 3 exons. The record is from RefSeq and is a predicted model, not a curated record. Lineage: Eukaryota; Metazoa; Arthropoda; Insecta; Diptera; Drosophilidae.
GUCGCAUGCUUCUGAGGAAGUUUCUCUAUGACUGUGGAAAUUGUGAUGUCGUUUUAAAGAUACAUCUCAAAAUAUCUAUUAUUGAUAGAUACUUUUAGAUAUUUUAUACUUUGAAAUGAUGAGUUACCAAUGAAAAUUAUUAUCAUGAUCAAUAAAGAUUGUAAGUGGAAAGCGAAUUAUUACUGGGAAUGGAAGUACACGUAGUGACGAAGGACACCAGAAGGUGUGCAAAAAAGAACAUCUGCUAUGAUGAUCCGAUCAUUAUUGAAAGGUCUGAUCACCAAUCGAAUGGUACCCAAAAUCCAAAAGGAUGAAACUUUAAAAAUGGUUAUUGGUUCGGAAGGAAGAGCAGUGACAGGGAAAAAUGUAAGAGGAAAAUUAUAGCUGUUGUUCAUCAAAAUCGUAUUGUAUUGCAGGGUGCCGAGUGAAAACAACUUAAAAAUGUAUUUAUUUAGUGAAUCAUAUAAUACAUUUUCAUCACAAAAGUUGACAUCAGAACUUUGGUAUGUUGAAGCAUAAUCGAUGAGCUUUCAAUGGUCGGGAAAAUCCAAGUUAUUCCGGUGAUGACUUUUGCGAACCACCCACGUAUCCGGCUAGAGCGACACUAACGCACGAACCCGUGUAGACCAGGAAUAAACAGAGAUAGAUAAAGGGGCAUAAAUCCAAAAGGCCUCAGCGACAGCUAUACUACCAAUAUGAUAAUCGGAGGCGGGCUGGGCAGUUGACAAUGGGCGUGGCAUAUCCACCUGCCAAGCACCGGCACUUACCCGAAGCUUAGCCAAAUACAAAGUGUCACACGGCCACCGCACAAGAACAAAUAAAGAAAAAACAGUCGGUAUAUACAAUAUACGUAUAUGGCUAUGAGUGCGCGGGAACUUGGGUCUCGGGAACUUGGGAACUCGCGAACUCCGGCGGAUACUCGACCGUUUCGACGAGCGGACUAUUUCGAACUGAAUCGCAGCGCUGGGCAAUCUUCCUUAUUUAUCAAUAGCCCUGCUCCAUGGAAGGCCAAUAAAGCAAAUAGCAUUUAUUGUUUUGGCCGGGCUAAAAAAUGAUAAGCCCCCAUACUCUCCAUUCUCUCGGUACAAGCAGACAUAUGUCCGCGUUCGAUUUUCGGCUUUAUCGGGGCAGGGAUGUCUGGGGAGUGGAUCUAUUACUCACGGAGUGCCCUGUAUUCGAUGUCAUGACUGUCAAUAAUUGUUAACUAAAGAGUUCAUUAUAAAGUUCGAAAUAAACCAUGGAUUAUUCACUUCUUUUAA